Molecule: ribosomal RNA, 385 nt
Filed under: Glandirana emeljanovi (Northeast China rough-skinned frog)
Lineage: Eukaryota; Metazoa; Chordata; Amphibia; Anura; Ranidae
Description: Rugosa emeljanovi (Northeast China rough-skinned frog) partial 12S ribosomal RNA
Rfam family: Bacterial small subunit ribosomal RNA
Source: RNAcentral
GCCCAGCCGUAAACAAUUAACUUACACCAAAAAGCGCCAGGGAACUACAAGCAACGUUAAAACCCAAAGGAUUUGACGGUGUCCCACCCACCUAGAGGAGCCUGUUCUAUAAUCGAUACCCCCCGCUUUACCUGACCAUCCCUUGCCUAUCAGUCUGUAUACCUCCGUCGAAAGCUUACCAUGUGAACGUCUUCAGUAAGCUUAAUGAUCACCAUCAACACGUCAGGUCAAGGUGCAGCUCACGGAAUGGAGACAAAUGGGCUACAAUUUCUAAUCUAGAACAAACGAAAGGCUACGUGAAACCCUAGCUCCGAAGGCGGAUUUAGUAGUAAAAAGAAACUAGAGUCUUCUUUUUAACCCGGCUCUGGGACGCGUACACACCGCC